GCUGGGCCCUGUGGCGUCCUCCUGUAAUCCCAGUGGCUCUGGAGGCUGAGGCAGGAGGAUCAUAAGUUCAAAGUCAUCCUUUGCAAUUUAGUGAGGUCCUGUCUCAA
This 107-nucleotide small RNA is filed under the name Marmota monax (woodchuck). The record is from RNAcentral. Lineage: Eukaryota; Metazoa; Chordata; Mammalia; Rodentia; Sciuridae.